CUGCUCGCUUUGGCAGCACACACCCUCAAACUGGAACAACACAGAGAUUAGCAUGGCUGCUGCACAAGGAUGAUAUGCAAAUUCAUGAAGAAUUCCCUAUUUUU
This is a small nuclear RNA of Oryctolagus cuniculus (rabbit), 104 nucleotides long. The record is from Ensembl. NCBI's taxonomy places the organism in Eukaryota, Metazoa, Chordata, Mammalia, Lagomorpha, Leporidae.